GACGAACGCUGGCGGCGUGCUUAACACAUGCAAGUCGAACGGAAAGGCGCUGCUUUUGUGGGGUGCUCGAGUGGCGAACGGGUGAGUAACACGUGAGUAACCUGCCCUUGACUUUGGGAUAACUUCAGGAAACUGGUGCUAAUACCGGAUAGGAGCUCCUGAUGCCUGGUGGGGGUUGGAAAGUUUCGGCGGUUGGGGAUGGACUCGAGGCUUAUCAGCUUGUUGGUGGAGUAGUGGCUUACCAAGGCUUUGACGGGUAGCCGGCCUGGGAGGGUGACCGGCGACAUUGGGACUGCGAUACGGCCCAGACUCCUACGGGAGGCAGCGGUGGGGAAUAUUGCACAAUGGGCCGAAGCCUGAUGCAGCAACGCCGCGUGCGGGAUGACGUCCUUCGGGUUGUGAACCGCUUUCGCCUGUGACGAAGCGUGAAUGACGGUAAUGGAUAAAGAAGCACCGGCUAACUACGUG
This 468-nucleotide ribosomal RNA is filed under the name uncultured bacterium. Its description in RNAcentral is "partial 16S ribosomal RNA". It matches the Rfam family "Bacterial small subunit ribosomal RNA", at positions 28 to 507 of the family's 1533-position model. The record is from RNAcentral.